This 2766-nucleotide ribosomal RNA is filed under the name Salmonella enterica subsp. enterica serovar Enteritidis. RNAcentral's name for it is "partial 23S ribosomal RNA". It matches the Rfam family "Bacterial large subunit ribosomal RNA". The record is from RNAcentral. Lineage: Bacteria; Pseudomonadati; Pseudomonadota; Gammaproteobacteria; Enterobacterales; Enterobacteriaceae.
UAUCAUUAACUGAAUCCAUAGGUUAAUGAGGCGAACCGGGGGAACUGAAACAUCUAAGUACCCCGAGGAAAAGAAAUCAACCGAGAUUCCCCCAGUAGCGGCGAGCGAACGGGGAGGAGCCCAGAGCCUGAAUCAGCAUGUGUGUUAGUGGAAGCGUCUGGAAAGGCGCGCGAUACAGGGUGACAGCCCCGUACACAAAAGCGCAUGUGCUGUGAGCUCGAUGAGUAGGGCGGGACACGUGGUAUCCUGUCUGAAUAUGGGGGGACCAUCCUCCAAGGCUAAAUACUCCUGACUGACCGAUAGUGAACCAGUACCGUGAGGGAAAGGCGAAAAGAACCCCGGCGAGGGGAGUGAAAAAGAACCUGAAACCGUGUACGUACAAGCAGUGGGAGCACCCUUUGGGUGUGACUGCGUACCUUUUGUAUAAUGGGUCAGCGACUUAUAUUCUGUAGCAAGGUUAACCGAAUAGGGGAGCCGGAGGGAAACCGAGUCUUAACCGGGCGUUAAGUUGCAGGGUAUAGACCCGAAACCCGGUGAUCUAGCCAUGGGCAGGUUGAAGGUUGGGUAACACUAACUGGAGGACCGAACCGACUAAUGUUGAAAAAUUAGCGGAUGACCUGUGGCUGGGGGUGAAAGGCCAAUCAAACCGGGAGAUAGCUGGUUCUCCCCGAAAGCUAUUUAGGUAGCGCCUCGUGAAUUCAUCUCCGGGGGUAGAGCACUGUUUCGGCUAGGGGGCCAUCCCGGCUUACCAACCCGAUGCAAACUGCGAAUACCGGAGAAUGUUAUCACGGGAGACACACGGCGGGUGCUAACGUCCGUCGUGAAGAGGGAAACAACCCAGACCGCCAGCUAAGGUCCCAAAGUCAUGGUUAAGUGGGAAACGAUGUGGGAAGGCCCAGACAGCCAGGAUGUUGGCUUAGAAGCAGCCAUCAUUUAAAGAAAGCGUAAUAGCUCACUGGUCGAGUCGGCCUGCGCGGAAGAUGUAACGGGGCUAAACCAUGCACCGAAGCUGCGGCAGCGACACUGUGUGUUGUUGGGUAGGGGAGCGUUCUGUAAGCCUGUGAAGGUGUGUCGUGAGGCAUGCUGGAGGUAUCAGAAGUGCGAAUGCUGACAUAAGUAACGAUAAAGCGGGUGAAAAGCCCGCUCGCCGGAAGACCAAGGGUUCCUGUCCAACGUUAAUCGGGGCAGGGUGAGUCGACCCCUAAGGCGAGGCCGAAAGGCGUAGUCGAUGGGAAACGGGUUAAUAUUCCCGUACUUGGUGUUACUGCGAAGGGGGGACGGAGAAGGCUAUGUUGGCCGGGCGACGGUUGUCCCGGUUUAAGCGUGUAGGUGUGUGUUCCAGGUAAAUCCGGUUCACUUUAACACUGAGGCGUGACGACGAGGCACUACGGUGCUGAAGCAACAAAUGCCCUGCUUCCAGGAAAAGCCUCUAAGCAUCAGGUAACAUCAAAUCGUACCCCAAACCGACACAGGUGGUCAGGUAGAGAAUACCAAGGCGCUUGAGAGAACUCGGGUGAAGGAACUAGGCAAAAUGGUGCCGUAACUUCGGGAGAAGGCACGCUGACACGUAGGUGAAGUGAUUUACUCAUGGAGCUGAAGUCAGUCGAAGAUACCAGCUGGCUGCAACUGUUUAUUAAAAACACAGCACUGUGCAAACACGAAAGUGGACGUAUACGGUGUGACGCCUGCCCGGUGCCGGAAGGUUAAUUGAUGGGGUCAGCGCAAGCGAAGCUCCUGAUCGAAGCCCCGGUAAACGGCGGCCGUAACUAUAACGGUCCUAAGGUAGCGAAAUUCCUUGUCGGGUAAGUUCCGACCUGCACGAAUGGCGUAAUGAUGGCCAGGCUGUCUCCACCCGAGACUCAGUGAAAUUGAACUCGCUGUGAAGAUGCAGUGUACCCGCGGCAAGACGGAAAGACCCCGUGAACCUUUACUAUAGCUUGACACUGAACAUUGAGCCUUGAUGUGUAGGAUAGGUGGGAGGCUUUGAAGUGUGGACGCCAGUCUGCAUGGAGCCGACCUUGAAAUACCACCCUUUAAUGUUUGAUGUUCUAACGUGGACCCGUUACCCGGGUUGCGGACAGUGUCUGGUGGGUAGUUUGACUGGGGCGGUCUCCUCCUAAAGAGUAACGGAGGAGCACGAAGGUUGGCUAAUCCUGGUCGGACAUCAGGAGGUUAGUGCAAUGGCAUAAGCCAGCUUGACUGCGAGCGUGACGGCGCGAGCAGGUGCGAAAGCAGGUCAUAGUGAUCCGGUGGUUCUGAAUGGAAGGGCCAUCGCUCAACGGAUAAAAGGUACUCCGGGGAUAACAGGCUGAUACCGCCCAAGAGUUCAUAUCGACGGCGGUGUUUGGCACCUCGAUGUCGGCUCAUCACAUCCUGGGGCUGAAGUAGGUCCCAAGGGUAUGGCUGUUCGCCAUUUAAAGUGGUACGCGAGCUGGGUUUAGAACGUCGUGAGACAGUUCGGUCCCUAUCUGCCGUGGGCGCUGGAGAACUGAGGGGGGCUGCUCCUAGUACGAGAGGACCGGAGUGGACGCAUCACUGGUGUUCGGGUUGUCAUGCCAAUGGCACUGCCCGGUAGCUAAAUGCGGAAGAGAUAAGUGCUGAAAGCAUCUAAGCACGAAACUUGCCCCGAGAUGAGUUCUCCCUGAGACUUAAAGUCUCCUGAAGGAACGUUGAAGACGACGACGUUGAUAGGCCGGGUGUGUAAGCGCAGCGAUGCGUUGAGCUAACCGGUACUAAUGAACCGUGAGGCUUAACCUUACAACGCCG